RNAcentral lists this ribosomal RNA (1043 nucleotides) under Sporormiella pulchella. RNAcentral's name for it is "eukaryotic LSU rRNA". It matches the Rfam family "Eukaryotic large subunit ribosomal RNA", at positions 1 to 1061 of the family's 3401-position model. Lineage: Eukaryota; Fungi; Ascomycota; Dothideomycetes; Pleosporales; Sporormiaceae. The record is from RNAcentral.
GUUUGACCUCGGAUCAGGUAGGGAUACCCGCUGAACUUAAGCAUAUCAAUAAGCGGAGGAAAAGAAACCAACAGGGAUUGCCCUAGUAACGGCGAGUGAAGCGGCAACAGCUCAAAUUUGAAAUCUGGCCCUUUCAGGGUCCGAGUUGUAAUUUGUAGAGGGUGCUUUGGCGUUGGCUGUGGUCUAAGUUCCUUGGAACAGGACGUCGCAGAGGGUGAGAAUCCCGUAUGUGGCCGCCAGCCUCCGCCGUGUAAAGCCCCUUCGACGAGUCGAGUUGUUUGGGAAUGCAGCUCUAAAUGGGAGGUAAAUUUCUUCUAAAGCUAAAUAUUGGCCAGAGACCGAUAGCGCACAAGUAGAGUGAUCGAAAGAUGAAAAGCACUUUGGAAAGAGAGUCAAAAAGCACGUGAAAUUGUUGAAAGGGAAGCGCUUGCAGCCAGACUUGCCCGCAGUUGCUCAUCCAGGCCUCCGCCUGGUGCACUCUUCUGUGGGCAGGCCAGCAUCAGUCCGGGCGGUUGGAUAAAUGCCUGCUAAAUGUACCUCUCCUCGGGGAGGACUUAUAGGGUAGGCGGCAUACAACCAGCCCGGAUUGAGGUCCGCGCUUCGGCUAGGAUGCUGGCGUAAUGGCUGUAAGCGGCCCGUCUUGAAACACGGACCAAGGAGUCUAACAUCUAUGCGAGUGUUUGGGUGUCAAGCCCGAGCGCGUAAUGAAAGUGAACGGAGGUGGGAACCCCUCGGGGCGCACCAUCGACCGAUCCUGAUGUCUUCGGAUGGAUUUGAGUAAGAGCAUAGCUGUUGGGACCCGAAAGAUGGUGAACUAUGCCUGAAUAGGGUGAAGCCAGAGGAAACUCUGGUGGAGGCUCGCAGCGGUUCUGACGUGCAAAUCGAUCGUCAAAUUUGGGCAUAGGGGCGAAAGACUAAUCGAACUAUCUAGUAGCUGGUUCCUGCCGAAGUUUCCCUCAGGAUAGCAGUAACGUUUUCAGUUUUAUGAGGUAAAGCGAAUGAUUAGAGGCCUGGGGGUUGAAACAACCUUCACCUAUUCUCAA